This 440-nucleotide ribosomal RNA is filed under the name uncultured bacterium. RNAcentral's name for it is "partial 16S ribosomal RNA". It matches the Rfam family "Bacterial small subunit ribosomal RNA", at positions 338 to 795 of the family's 1533-position model. The record is from RNAcentral.
CCUACGGGAGGCAGCAGUGGGGGAUAUUGCACAAUGGGGGAAACCCUGAUGCAGCGACGCCGCGGGGGUGAAGAAGUACCUCGUCACGUAAAGCUCUGUCAGCAGGGAAGAAAAUGACGGUACCUGAGGAAGAAGCCCCGGCUAACUACGGGCCAGCAGCCGCGGUAAUACGUAGGGGGAAAGCGUUAUCCGGAUUUACUGGGGGUAAAGGGGGCGUAGACGGCGAUGCAAGCCAGGAGUGAAAGGCGGGGGCCCAACCCCGGGACUGCUCUUGGAACUGCGUGGCUGGAGUGCAGGAGGGGCAGGCGGAAUUCCUGGUGUAGCGGUGAAAUGCGUAGAUAUUAGGAGGAACACCGGUGGCGAAGGCGGCCUGCUGGACUGCAACUGACGUUGAGGCCCGAAAGCGUGGGGAGCAAACAGGAUUAGAUACCCUAGUAGUC